Molecule: long non-coding RNA, 5583 nt
Filed under: Sus scrofa (pig)
Lineage: Eukaryota; Metazoa; Chordata; Mammalia; Artiodactyla; Suidae
Description: lncRNA (ENSSSCG00015064557.1)
Source: RNAcentral
AUCUUCCUUCCCCUUCCCCACCAUCUCUUUUUUCACUCCUUUGCCUUCUCUUCAUGCUUCCCUGGCUUAAGACCCUUGUACCAACAUUGUUUAUUCCUGCAUAUGGCCAAAGAGUUGCUGACCUCUGCCUUCCCUCAUGAAAUUUUCAAACACACCUGCUCCUGUGCCUUGCAAAUGAGUCCUAUCUGAACCUCCAAUCACACCAGGGUGCCAAGCAUCCCUAGCUGCAGAAUAUCUGGUCUCCAGGCAACCAGAGAGGAGCAUUCCAUCUUCAGAAAAGGUACUAAGUGCUCUCUUGCCCUGAAAGCCCUCUAAAGUUGAAGGCAAGGGUUUGGAAGAGAUUCAAAUCAAACUCUCUAUAAGCUGGGCUCCCUCUGGUGAUAAAUGACUUUAAAAAAGGAAACAAGAGGGUAGCUAAGGAGGAUAUCAACUCUCAUUCGCCAACACAUGAUAAUAUAGAGAUGUCAGAAAUAAAUAAUUGGUCUAAAGCUGCACUGGCUAAUUUGAUAACCAUUAGCCACAGGUGGCUAUUCAAAUUUAAACUGAUACAAAUUUAAUUAAAGUUUCAUUCCCCAGGCACAAUAGCCACAUUUCAAGUUCUCAGUAGCCACAUGUAGCUGCACUGGAAAGGACUGCAGAUGCAGAAAUAGGGAGAAAUAGAGAGAGAGGGAAAAAGGAAGAGAAGAAAUGAGACAUUUGGUAUUACUCACAUCCUUUUGGGUAAUCAGGAGAUAAAGACAGAGAAGGAAAGACAGAGAAAGAAAAGAAAACAUAAAUAAUUGAAAGAGAAUAAAACUGCAGGUCUGAGAUCAAGACUUUUUCCUCCCAGCUUUAUACAUUCUAAGAGACAUGUGAAUAAUGUGAGAGGAGCACACUUUCCCAAGCACUUGAUUUUAAGAGCCUGUCUUGGGUGUAAGUAAACUGAGUAUGGAGGCUCACCUCUAUGGGAGGCUAGAGUUCUUGCAGCCAAUUAGUUGCUUUGACCUGAAUCGACUCAUUUUCAUUUAGAUGUUUUCUUGCAACCUACCAACGAGCAUCUUGUAUCACCCCCCCACCUGCCCUUUCCUCUAAAUCUGAGAAUGACUAUGGCAAUGGGGAUAGAACAGCACAUGUAUUAGAAGUGAAGAGCAUUACUGAGAAUUUAGAGACUAUGUCUAGUUUGGAGGAACCCAAGGGAACUUCAAGAAAAGUAAUCAGAGUGAGUAGGAAAGAAUACAUAAUGCAAAUUAUUCCCUCCAGGAACUUUACUUCAAAAAGAACAAGUGCAUUUCCCUGAAGGACACCAGUACUGUCAAAUGUAACUGUUCACCAUGCUUCUCCAAGGCACCAAAUGGGCUUUUAAGUCACAUUCCUGCAGGUUUAACCAUGGAUUCAAAAUAGAAACUGUAAAUUUGCUCUCUAAGUUUGUAUUGACAUGCAGAUAGUAUUGGGGUUAUUGUGUGGCCUCACUAGGAUAUCUGCUUAUAAUUUAAUGAGAGAUUUGGUAAAAAUGGAAUGGUUGACAUCACAGAGGUUUCAGCAUUUUUGACCCUCUAUUUUAUGUGGUGAACUCCAAGACCAACUGAGAUCAAAACUUCUGGCAGCCUCUGAAAAUAUCUGCUGAAGAUAUUUGUGGAAUAUAAGCUUAUCCUACAAAUUAACAACAAUAAUAAAGAUAUAAUAUUCAUUUAUAUUCCCUUAGAAUUAAUGAGCCAUUUCAUUGUCUUAGCUAUUUCCUUGAAGGGGAGAGAACAGGUCAAAGCACAACCACUUCCAUAAAACAGAAAACCGCUCCUAUUUUAUGACACACUGAUGGAAAAAGAACAGGCCUAAAAGUUCUUCCACCCUUCACCUCUGUACCUUCAGUUCCCAAAUACCAUUUCUGCGAUAGAUAGAUGAUAGAUGGAUAGAUAGACAGAUAGAUAGAUAGAUAGAUAGAUAGAUAGAUAGAUAGAUAAAUAGGUGGGAAGACAGACUGACAGACAGUUGGGGAAUGUAGUUAGUCUGGCAUUUAUCCUUCAUUUAUCCGUCUAUGUGAACAGCACCAAGAAUACACAGAUAGCUAACACAUAAUCCAUGCACUGAGGUGACUCAAAGUUAAAUGGGAGACAUACAUUUAUAACGCAUUACGAUGACUGUGGUAGCGUCAGAAACUAAUUGCUUUAGGAGUACAGAGGAAGAAGUAAUUAAUUCUCCCUGAGGGUUUAGAGGAAGAUUCAUGAACAAACCUGUGCUGCUCUGCAAUGUCACUACACAUCCAGAAGCCAAUGGGAGUGAAGUCAAGGGCAAAGUGGGUAAGGACCAGACACUGUACGCCCAUAGAUGACCCCUCUCCUAUUAUAGUGCACCCCAACAAGGUUAUCUAUCCACACAUAUUGUUUCCAACUAAACCAACACUUUUCCUGGUUCUUGACAUCAACACUUAAGGAGUUAAAGCUCCUCUCCAGAACUAUUGCUUUGAAAGCAGCCUUUAUACCUCUACUGAGUAGAGAGCAGUCAGUCAUUAGAGCCACAAAGAGCCAUGCACUCAGGAACACAUAUACACACCCUACUUAAAUGUAUAUAUGCAUGCAUGCAUGUAUGUAUGCAUAUAUAUAUAUGCAUAUUAAGUAAAUGAUAUACAAAUAUAUGAAGUAAAUAUAUACAGGUAUUAUUAAAUACCUGAGUAGGUAGCUCUUUGCUAGGGCUCAAGGAAUAAAAAUCAGCAUAAGACAUUUGCCUAUAAAAAGUUUGUAGUACAGUGAAGUAUAUGGCAUGCCCUACCAUAGUCAUUGCUAGCACAAAGGGGAAAGACAAGGGCAUUUUGUAAUACUAUCUUCAGCUCAAGCUGCUACCAAGAAAGCUGGGAAAUAACAUUAUGAGAUAAUCCAGUCUUCCCCACCUGUAAGUACCAACUAACAAAUAAAAAGUUUAUGUAAAUAAAAGGAACUACCACUAAAUAUUAAUAGAUCCAAUAUAUUCAGCCCAUGACCACCAGGAAGCUGCAUUCUCUCAGCAGUGUCUUAUUUAAGGUUGAUGCUGUCUUCCUAGCCACAUAAAUCACUCUAAGAGAGAAUAGAGUUUUUCCCUGUGGAGUCUGUGAUUACAGACAGGUAUCCCAGUUUGGGAUCAGGAAAGCCCUCGUUCUAAACUAAACAUGGCUACAGAAGUAGUUGAUUGCCUUUGGCUGUUUUUGUUUCCUCAUCUAAAAGAGAAGCCCUGGCCUAAAUGAUCAGCACAAUGAUUGCCAAUUCUGAUGUUACUCUCCAGGCAGAGGCAACCAUUCCUGAGAGUGGCACCCAAAUGGCACCGUCUUUGCUUCUGUGUUCCUCUUUUUUCUCAGCCAAAGUAUCCUCAUUUUAUUGCACAACCAAAGAAUUAAAAGUAUAUGUUCCUUUGGGAAUGCAGAAAGUUAUCUUGGACUAUCUUGGCCAAUUCAAAAAUCUCUUCAGGUGCUUAUUUUCAAAUAUAUUUUGCCUGCCAGAAGGACAUGAAUUUAUUUUUUUGGGGGGGGGGUCCAGAAGGUAACUUAUUACGAGCUGAAUAGUGAGCCUCCAAAAUUCAUAUAUUGAAGUCCCCGACUCCAAUACUUCAGAAUGUAAUCGUAUUUGGAGAUAAGGUCUUUAAAGGGGUAAUUAAGUUCAAAUGAGACUGCUAGUGUGGGGCACAAAUCAGUAUGACUAGGGUCCCCAUAAGCGGAGGGAGAGACACCAUGAAAUGCACAGAGGAAAGACCAUGUAAGGACUUGUAAGAAGAUGCCCAACUACAAGUCAAAGAAAGAGACCUCAAGAAAAAUCAAAUCUGCCAACACCUUGAUCUUGGACUUUUAGCAUCCAGAACCAUACAAAAGUUAAUUUCGGUAGUUUAAGCCACCCAGUCUGUGGUACUUUGUUACAGCAGCCCUAGCAAACUAAGAUAGUAGGCAUUCAAAGAAUAAGAAAGAAUUAAUAUCUUCUGUGCCACAUAUUCUUUAAAUAGCAUGACUCUGUGUAUCUACAAGUUUCACUAAUUUAUCAAGAAGCACAGGAAGUAGGAAUCCUCAAAUAAGUGAUUCAGAAUAUAGCAUUGUUCACUGACCUAUCAUUUGUAUUUGAAACUAUUUUCCUGACUUUAUAGAAACAGACACCGUAUCAUGAAUUUUAACAAACUCUUUUGGGGGACCAAAAUAUCUGAAUCAGCUGGCCUACACAGACAUCUCCCAAAUGUAUGAAUCCCCCCUGAUGUAAGAACCAGAGACUCUGUAAGCCACUCUGAACUAAAAAAAUAUAUCAGAAAAUAAUUGUGGAGUUCCCGUCAUGGUGCAGCGGAAACAAGUCCGACUAGGAACUAUGAGGUUGCAGGUUCAAUCCCUGGCCAUGGGUGCAGCCCUAAAAAAAGAAAAGAUAAAAAAAGAAAGAAAAUUAUAAUUAAAAAAAAAGAAAAUCUGAUUCAGUGUGCUUUGAAAUCCCUCAAGAAAAACUGUCCUCCACAGUACAACUUUUUCUUCCUCCUGGCAAACUUUGUCUUAGCAGGUUUUAUUCAGAACAUCUGAGCUAGAGCAGAGUUGCGACUUGAUUGAUACUCACUUCCAAGUGGAAACCACUGCAAAGUUUCUUCUGCAUUGAUUAGUGUCUCCCAGCUGCCUAAAAACCCACAAUGAAUUCACAACGCAUCAGGGAUCGCAUCAGGGAGUUAUUUAUGGGUGAGGAACAUGCUUAUUGCUACCUCUAUUGUGCUAUCCAUAUGUCAAAGGAUCAGAGAUGUAUUAACGGGCUCUUCUCAGGCAUUAUUCCCACCCAGAGCGAAUGACUGUUUCUGAUUAGUCUUAAAUUAACUUAUCUGCAAAUUUAUUUUUUACAUGGGAUGCAUUUGUUUGCUUUCUUAUGAAUAAGAAUGUAUACUUCUCCGUCACCAUGUCUUGCCAUAAGUCUGAACAAAACUGCCUGUGGGCCUGAGCUACAGCUCAGUCACCAGCAUUAACGGGGUCACCCAAUACGCUCAUCACUGAAUGUGAACUCAGUCAGUCUCUUAUCUGACUCCACCAGUAAAAUAAAUAAAUGAGCAAACUGCUAAAAAUAAAUGGAACCAUAUCUUAUUCAAAAUGUUAUCUGUAUCUGCUGAGGAAGAAUCCAAGGGAAUUGGCUCUGUUAUGGAGUUGUUCUGAGGUGUUAAAAAUUGUAGGGCAUUAUGCCUGAGGAGACAAUGCAGUACAGAACCAAGAUUCCCCUGUAUCUGAUUAGAAUUUGCACAAUAUUAAGUAAAUAAUGAACUCUUGAUUCGUAGCUAGACAAGGCAACAGGCCUGGGUUUUAUCAUGUGCAUAGUGAUUUGUAAUGAAUGGGAAUGGACAGGUGAAAUCAAAAUGCAGGGGAAAACAUGAAGCUGAAUGACACUGAAUAUCUGUUCUCUGAAAGAAGUUAUUCUGUUUCCCUUAAACCAAGACCUGCAGCUUAGUCUAUGAGUGGUACUGAGUAAUCAAGGUAUAAAUGCUUUCAAUGCCAAAAGCUUCUAAAAUAAUAAGAGGAUGGAGAAAAGAAAAUAGAGAAAUAGAGGGGCCAAUCCUAUUUUUAAAUGUUUUUAAAUGCCUUACCUAAUGGGGCCUGACUCCCACGCCAGAAUUAAAAAAAAAAAAGAAAAAGAAAAAAAG